GGUCCCUUCGUCUAGUGGUCAGGACACCAGGUUUUCAUCCUGAUAACAGGGGUUCGAUUCCCCUAGGGACUA
This 72-nucleotide transfer RNA is filed under the name bacterium. RNAcentral's name for it is "tRNA-Glu". It matches the Rfam family "tRNA". Rfam says of the family: Transfer RNA (tRNA) molecules are approximately 80 nucleotides in length. Their secondary structure includes four short double-helical elements and three loops (D, anti-codon, and T loops). RNAcentral also lists the same sequence under 1 other name. The record is from RNAcentral.